This is a non-coding RNA of Stylosanthes scabra, 72 nucleotides long. The record is from the annotation of a GenBank genome assembly. NCBI's taxonomy places the organism in Eukaryota, Viridiplantae, Streptophyta, Magnoliopsida, Fabales, Fabaceae.
UCCGUUGUCGUCAAGCGGUUAGGAUAUUUGGCUUUCACCCAGGAGUCCCGGGUUUGAUUCCCAGCAACGGAA